CCUACGGGCGGCUGCAGUGGGGAAUAUUGCACAAUGGGGUGAACCCUGAUGCAGCAACGCCGCGUGGGUGACGAAGUACUUCGGUAUGUUAAGCCCUGUCAGCAGGGAAGAAACUGACGGUACCUGACCAAGAAGCCCCGGCUAACUACGGGACAGCAGCAGCGGUAAUACGUAGGGGGCAAGCGUUAUCCGGAUGUACUGGGUGUAAAGGGAGCGUAGACGGCAAGGCAAGUCUGGAGUGAAAGCCCGUGGCUCAACCACGGGACUGCUUUGGAACAUGUGUUGCUGGAGUGCAGGAGAGGUAAGCGGAAGUCCUAGUGGAGCGGUGAAAUGCGGAGAUAUUAGGAGGAACACCGGUGGCGAAGGCGGCUUACUGGACUGUAACUGACGUUGAGGCUCGAAGGCGUGGGGAGCAAACAGGAUUAGAUACCCUGGUAGUC
Molecule: ribosomal RNA, 440 nt
Filed under: uncultured bacterium
Lineage: Bacteria
Description: partial 16S ribosomal RNA
Rfam family: Bacterial small subunit ribosomal RNA
Source: RNAcentral